RNAcentral lists this unclassified non-coding RNA (287 nucleotides) under Hevea brasiliensis (rubber tree). Lineage: Eukaryota; Viridiplantae; Streptophyta; Magnoliopsida; Malpighiales; Euphorbiaceae. The record is from RNAcentral.
CUCCGACAAGAUCGCCGUCACCGCCGCCACGUAAAUCUCCGGGUCGUUCGCGUCCUGCUUCCGAUAGCAGCCGAACAUCAUCCCCGCCCUCAACGAGGCGAAGCCCUGUUGGCCUUGGGCCGAACGAUAUUCCUGCGUCGGCUUGCCGUCUGGCGACGCUUGCAAGGCUUUCCGAUUUUCCACUUGCCACCUCUGCUGGUUGAUCGUUCCAACGCUCCCCAUUCAGGAACGUCUCAGGGUUCAUCCACGAGCGAUCCGGCGGCUUUGUCCGAAUGUACCGCCGCACG